This is a ribosomal RNA of Ochotona princeps (American pika), 119 nucleotides long. The record is from Ensembl. Lineage: Eukaryota; Metazoa; Chordata; Mammalia; Lagomorpha; Ochotonidae.
UCUGAACACACCUAUUCCCCUGGCAACACCCCCAGAUCUCCUCUGAUGUUGGUAGUUAAACAGGAUCAGACCAGGAUAGUACUUGGAAGGGAGAGAUUCAAACCCUGGGGUCAUCAUGG